This 394-nucleotide ribosomal RNA is filed under the name uncultured bacterium. RNAcentral describes it as "partial 16S ribosomal RNA". It matches the Rfam family "Bacterial small subunit ribosomal RNA", at positions 523 to 918 of the family's 1533-position model. The record is from RNAcentral.
AUACGUAGGGUGCUAGCGUUAUCCGGAUUUACUGGGCGUAAAGGGUGCGUAGGUGGUCUUUCAAGUCGGUGGUUAAAGGCUACGGCUCAACCGUAUUAAGCCGCCGAAACUGGAAGACUUGAGUGCAGGAGAGGAAAGUGGAAUUCUCAGUGUAGCGGUGAAAUGCGUAGAUAUUGAGAAGAACACCAGUAGCGAAGGCGGCUUUCUGGACUGUAACUGACACGGAGGCACGAAAGCGUGGGUAGCAAACAGGAUUAGAUACCCUGGUAGUCCACGCCGUAAACGAUGAGUAUUAGGUGUCGGGGGUUACCCCCCUCGGUGCCGCAGUUAACGCAUUAAAUACUCCGCCUGGGGAGUACGCACGCAAGUGUGAAACUCAAAUGAAUUGACGGGG